This 699-nucleotide ribosomal RNA is filed under the name uncultured bacterium. Its description in RNAcentral is "bacterial SSU rRNA". It matches the Rfam family "Bacterial small subunit ribosomal RNA", at positions 807 to 1504 of the family's 1533-position model. The record is from RNAcentral.
CGAUGAGAACUAGCUGUUAGAGGUUUUAAUAUCUUUAGUGGCGCAGCUAACGCAAUAAGUUCUCCGCCUGGGGAGUACGGCCGCAAGGUUAAAACUCAAAGGAAUUGACGGGGGCCCGCACAAGCGGUGGAGCAUGUGGUUUAAUUCGAUGCAACGCGAAGAACCUUACCUACCCUUGACAUCCUUGGGAUCGAGUAGAGAUAUUCGAGUGCCGAAAGGAACCAAGAGACAGGUGCUGCAUGGCUGUCGUCAGCUCGUGUUGUGAAAUGUUGGGUUAAGUCCCGUAACGAGCGCAACCCUUAUACUUAAUUGCCACCAGGUUAUGCUGAGCACAUUAAGUAGACUGCCGGUGUCAAACCGGAGGAAGGUGAGGACGACGUCAAGUCAUCAUGGCCCUUAUGGGUAGGGCUACACACGUGCUACAAUGGACAAUACAGAGGGUCGCCAAGCCGCGAGGUGGAGCUAAUCUCUUAAAAUUGUUCUCAGUCCGGAUUGAAGUCUGCAACUCGACUUCAUGAAGUUGGAAUCGCUAGUAAUCGCAGAUCAGAACGCUGCGGUGAAUACGUUCCCGGGCCUUGUACACACCGCCCGUCACACCAUGGGAGUGGGUUGUACCAGAAGCAUGUAGGCUAACCGCAAGGAGGCCGCAUACCACGGUAUGAUUCAUGACUGGGGUGAAGUCGUAACAAGGUAACCGUA